This is a long non-coding RNA of Gallus gallus (chicken), 2531 nucleotides long. The record is from Ensembl. NCBI's taxonomy places the organism in Eukaryota, Metazoa, Chordata, Aves, Galliformes, Phasianidae.
CGGAGCCGCCGCGGGGCUGCGGGUUGCGGGCACGCGUGGGCUAAACCGGGGCAAAAGCGGUCCAGAUAAAGCAAGGCCUGGCCGCGGUCAGCCUUUAAAAAGGUUAAAUAAAUACGAAUGGACGAAGAUAACGCUCCCGGCCCGAUCACCCGGCGUCUAAUAAAGGCUGAUGAAAUGAAGUGGCUCGAGUCGUUCUUAGCGCUGCGCGGCGCGUACGGAAAGCACAGUUAUGUACGGCACCAACCUACACGACGAGGAAGAGGGGAUUUGUAACAGUUCAAGAGUCUGAAAGCAGAUGAAAACCGCCGUGGAUACACUGAGCUUCCCCGUUCGGCAGCGCCUCGUAACUUUCCUUGGUGCGCUUCAAAAUACAGCCACAGAAUCAAAAUGUUUUGAUGCUGAAAUAAAGGUUUUGUCUUUUAUUGAAUGUUUUAGAGCGCCUCCCAAAAUGGAAUCCAUUCCCUGGCUCAGGCCCGACCAGCAGCAGUACUACAGACAGCACUUAAUGAGAGCUCUCACAAACGCACACCCCGCUUCUCCUUACUGCUGAGAUCUGAUUUUUUCCUUGCUUAUCUGUGGCUUAACACGAAGCCCCGCUGGCCACAAGAGAAGAUGCGGGGUUGUUGCUGUUUGGUGAGACGUGCUCAAGCCGGUUGUAAGAAUUCCUGCAGCAGCAAUAAAUGCUCCAUUAAUUUGGGGGGAAUUCAGGGCAUUUUUAUUUUUUUGCCUGUUGCAAUUCAGCAGAGGAUGUUUUUGUUACAUGGAGAAAAAUACACCCAGCUCAGAUUUUUAUAGUCCGUAGUGCUGUGCUUUCAAAUAAUUCCCCCUCUUCCGUGUGAUUUGUCACCUUGCAUUAUCCUUAAGUACAAACGCAUCGCUGCUGUUUCAUCACUGAGAUUUAAUGUUUUUUAUGAGACGUUUUCACUCUGAAAAAAAACCAUAAAUCUCUAUUUAAGGGAAGAAAAAAGGAAUUAUUUUCUUUCUUUGGGUAUAAUAACCAUUUGAGUAAAAAAACGAAAAUCUCAGAUUACUUUAAUCUGGUAAUUUGGUUGUUCUAACGCCGGUAGCACUGCGUAUUCUUUUUGCAGAUACGAAGGGUCUCACAGCACUUUGUGACUUUCAGAUGGGAAUGCUCGUGUGCGUUCACUGAAAUCAUGUUGUUAAUAGAAAGAUUACUAGAAUUUGCUGCUAAUAAAGCUGAGACAUAGAACUGAGUCAAUUAUGAAGUGCUCCAAAGGUUUUUACAUUUCUCCUGCUUGCUGCCGUGGCCUGCUUUCUUCCUUAUUAUUUUUAUUUUCAAUCUCCCUGUUUUUCCCUUCUUCAGUAGGUGUAAAUAUCCGAAUACAGAUCUAUUAGAGCGAAUGUCCUUCGAUCACUGUUUGCUUUUAGGAAAUACGACUGUAGUAUCUUUGAUUUCUCCUUGAUUUUUGUGUAGGGUUUUUUUGUUUGUUUGUUUGUUAUUGUUUUUAAUUCGUUUUCUUUCCCCAUAUUGGUUUGCUGGUGUAGUUUAACAAUGCUGUAACCAGAAAGCACGCUGCUUGCUGGCUGCGGCUCUCGAUGUGAAAGGCUUUCUGUUUCUUGUGAAAUCUGGGCUUUUCUUUAUAGACAAAGGGAAGUAUUUAUGGUUUGUAAAUCGCCAAGCCGGACAAUGUAGCUAAAUAUUUGAAGCACAAUAUUGGGGGCUGGGGGGCUGAGAACAACGUAAAGCAUUAACCAAGCUUCCUUGGUUGAUUUGUUUUGUUUCAUUUUCCCCCUCCUCCCCCCUCCCAAUGGGAAUGAUCACCACCAGUUGCUCAUCUUUUUUUGUGAGUGUUGGUUCUUACUCUUGAAGCCAAGCGUUAAUUUUUCAAGGGUGAGAAGAGAGGGAUGUUACUAUGGAGCCAGCCAACUUUUUGUUUCAUUGUUACCGUCUAUAUUCUCUAUCUGCAGAAAGAACCGACUGUGCCAAAAUACAAUACUACCGUGAGUAAAUGCCUCCUGCACUUUUAAAUAAUAACCUACAAUUCAACAAAACAGCUUCACAUCAGAAUGGUAUUAAAUACUCACUUGUUUACGCCUCGUACCUGAAAUGCAUCCUCUCUGCACGCUGCAUUGGUGACCCUACUGAGCCUGCCACUGGAGAGCUCCUUACGGCUGGUGUAGCUGGUGUCACCUGCCCACACCAGGCACCAAAUUCCAAGCCGUGUGUUUCAAUCCUGAGCCUUUCUUUACAUUUUUCAGUGCACCCUUUGGUACAGAAUGCAGAUGUCUUCCCACUCAGCCCAAAAUAAACCACUUCUCCUUUUGCUUUCUUCUCACGAUGGUGGAAAGCAGUGUAGAAUUAGAAAUCUAUACUACUCAAAGUACCACCAGCAUUGGCAAGUUCAUGUUUUAUAAAAGUAUGAGGAUCGGUUCACCUCUAAUAUACUUAUUAGCAAUCUUCCACAGGCAGAAGAGCUAAAUCCAAGUCACUUAUAAAAGUGGCACUGUGUUUUUUUUAUGCAGCAUUUGUGUGUACAAAAUAAACAAUAAAUUAUAAACUAUACAAUCAA